CCUACGGGAGGCAGCAGUGGGGAAUUUUGGACAAUGGGCGCAAGCCUGAUCCAGCAAUGCCGCGUGAGUGAAGAAGGCCUUCGGGUUGUAAAGCUCUUUUGUCAGGGAAGAAAAGGUUACGAAUAAUACUCGUGGCUCAUGACGGUACCUGAAGAAUAAGCACCGGCUAACCACGUGCCAGCAGCCGCGGUAAUACGUAGGGUGCAAGCGUUAAUCGGAAUUACUGGGCGUAAAGCGUGCGCAGGCGGUUUUGUAAGACUGUCGUGAAAUCCCCGGGCUCAACCUGGGAAUGGCGAUGGUGACUGCAAGGCUAGAGUUUGACAGAGGGGGGUAGAAUUCCACGUGUAGCAGUGAAAUGCGUAGAUAUGUGGAGGAACACCGAUGGCGAAGGCAGCCCCCUGGGUCAAAACUGACGCUCAUGCACGAAAGCGUGGGGAGCAAACAGGAUUAGAUACCCUGGUAGUCCACGCCCUAAACGAUGUCUACUAGUUGUCGGGUCUUAAUUGACUUGGUAACGCAGCUAACGCGUGAAGUAGACCGCCUGGGGAGUACGGUCGCAAGNUUAAAACUUAAAUGAAUUGACCGGNNGNGNGNGCGAGCGACGACGAGGAGAG
RNAcentral lists this ribosomal RNA (614 nucleotides) under uncultured bacterium. RNAcentral's name for it is "bacterial SSU rRNA". It matches the Rfam family "Bacterial small subunit ribosomal RNA", at positions 338 to 944 of the family's 1533-position model. The record is from RNAcentral.